CCCUGGGACCCUCCCGGGCCUCGGGCUCACUCCCCUCUGUGCCCCUGCAGAUGCCCUUUGACUCCCGGCCCCUACAUCCCAGCUUUACUCCUCCCCAUCCUUCAGAGGUAUGCAGAAAGACCGUUUCCUGGGAACCCCAUCAGGGAGAGCCUGGUAGUGUCUGGUCCUGGAGCUGCCACAUCACCUGCCCAGACAUGUGCAGGGCCAUUCAGCCCCAGAUGUCACCCUGGCCUCCACUUCCUACAGGACAGGCUCUCCUCCAGCUGUUGGCCACCCCAGGGUCACCACUGAUCUUAAAGAGCCAACCAGCGUCCCCUCCAGGAACCUCACAGUGCUUCUACCCUGAUGAAGAUCACACAGGAGGACUGGGGACAGGCUCAUAGGAAGACUUCAGGGACUUCAAAGCUGGAUCCGGAUGCCAUCUCUUCAGGACGGAGUGUCCUUCUCUGCCCUCUGCUGCGCCCCCAUCCAGGGUUUGGCUUCUCUUCUUCCUCAUCUGCCCCAAGCCUGAAGCCCUUGAGGAACAUGGCUGAAGCAAUCUUGA
Molecule: long non-coding RNA, 544 nt
Organism: Echinops telfairi (small Madagascar hedgehog)
Lineage: Eukaryota; Metazoa; Chordata; Mammalia; Afrosoricida; Tenrecidae
Exons: 2
Source: RefSeq, a predicted model, not a curated record